This 548-nucleotide ribosomal RNA is filed under the name uncultured Glomeromycotina. RNAcentral describes it as "SSU rRNA". It matches the Rfam family "Eukaryotic small subunit ribosomal RNA", at positions 548 to 1098 of the family's 1831-position model. Lineage: Eukaryota; Fungi; Glomeromycota. The record is from RNAcentral.
UUGGAGGGCAAGUCUGGUGCCAGCAGCCGCGGUAAUUCCAGCUCCAAUAGCGUAUAUUAAAGUUGUUGCAGUUAAAAAGCUCGUAGUUGAAUUUCGGGAUCAGUACGUUGGUCGUGCCUUAGGUACGUACUGGUGUUACUGGUUUCUACCUUCUGACGAACCAUCAUGUCAUUCAUUUGGUGUGGCGGGGAAUCAGGACUGUUACUUUGAAAAAAUUAGAGUGUUUAAAGCAGGCUCGCGCUUGAAUACAUUAGCAUGGAAUAAUGAAAUAGGACGUUGAUCCUAUUUUGUUGGUUUCUAGGAUUGACGUAAUGAUUAAUAGGGAUAGUUGGGGGCAUUAGUAUUCAAUUGUCAGAGGUGAAAUUCUUGGAUUUAUUGAAGACUAACUACUGCGAAAGCAUUUGCCAAGGAUGUUUUCAUUAAUCAAGAACGAAAGUUAGGGGAUCGAAGACGAUCAGAUACCGUCGUAGUCUUAACCAUAAACUAUGCCGACUAGGGAUCGGAUGAUGUUAAUUUUUUAAUGACUCAUUCGGCGCCUUACGGGAAAC